CCAAAGACUAGAAAUUAGAGCACAAGUUGCAGAUGCCUUUUUAUCCAAGUUCCAGUUGACUUCUGAUGAAAUGACUCUCCUCCGAGGACUUUUUCAAGGCUUUGGGAAGAGUGAAACAAAUUCAUAAUGACGUCAAAGUUCUUUUGAGAACCAACCAGCAGACGGCAGGUUUGGAGAUUAUGGAACAGAUGGCCUUGCUUCAAGAAACUGCUUAUGAAAGACUUUACCGGUGGGCUCAAAGUAUACCUUAGAUGAAUUUGGAACGGCCAGGCGAAGCACUGUGGUUCGUGGGUUUAUUGAUGCUCUUACAAGAGGAGGGCCAGGAGGUACACCUAGACCCAUUGAAAUGCACUCCCAUGACCCGCUGAGGUAUGUGGGAGACAUGCUGGCCUGGCUCCAUCAAGCUACUGCCUCUGAGAAGGAACAUCUGGAAGCUCUCUUAAAGCAUGUAACUGCACAGGGUGUUAAAGAAAAUAUUCAAGAAGUUGUUGGGCAUAUCACCGAGGGUGUGUGUCGGCCUCUAAAGGUUCGAAUUGAACAAGUAAUACUUGCUGAACCUGGGGCAGUGUUAUUAUAUAAAAUUUCUAACCUCCUCAAGUUUUACCACCAUACCAUCAGUGGCAUUGUUGGAAAUAGUGCAGCUACUCUACUGACAACAAUUGAAGAAAUGCACUUGCUAAGCAAAAAAAUAUUCUUCAGUAGCUUGAGUC
Molecule: long non-coding RNA, 710 nt
Filed under: Rattus norvegicus (Norway rat)
Lineage: Eukaryota; Metazoa; Chordata; Mammalia; Rodentia; Muridae
Description: long non-coding RNA NONRATT016393
Source: RNAcentral